Molecule: transfer RNA, 98 nt
Filed under: Venturia inaequalis
Lineage: Eukaryota; Fungi; Ascomycota; Dothideomycetes; Venturiales; Venturiaceae
Description: tRNA-Asn
Source: RNAcentral
UCCCUCGUGGCGCAAUUGGCUAGCGCGUUCGACUGUUACAAGCACUUCAAAAUGCAUAAGAGAUCGAGAGGUUGGUGGUUCGAGCCCACCCGAGGGAG